AUCCCUGUAGGCAAAGCCUCCCAGGGAGUGUUUCAGUUUCUCAGGAGCUGGUCUCAGCAGGAAGUCAGAAGGGAAGGAAAGUCUUUCUCUGUUCUAGAGGAGCUCCCCAAGGUUCCAUUCUGAAGCCAAAGUAAUGAGGUCAUUGAAGGAACUACUAUGAGAAAAUGGAUUGGAGCCAUCUCCCAGGAGAUGGGGAGUGAACACUGUGGUCCAGAGAAUCAGGGGGUUCCCUGAUUACACAAGCAUCUGUGUCUCCCUGCCAGGACUGGGCCUGGGACUGUGCUCAGAGUUGAUGGGAAAAACUGGUCCAGUGAAGAGGUUGGCCCACCAGCUUCCCCACAUCAUUCCUGGCUGCUGCAAACUUCAUCUGUUUUCCAAAAGGCAGGCAGGCAGUUGUUCCUGGGAGGCCUUGGGGCCAGAGAAUGAAGCAAGGUUAAGAUGUGGGAAUACAGCAAACCAAAAGGGAGGAAAGAGGAAAAAAUCCAAAUGAGGCAUAGUUAGGAAAGAAAACUUUUCAUCGGAAGCUCCCCAGCAGGUCCUUUGGCACUGGGGAACAAUGCUCCUUUGCCUUAAUUAUUCCUCUGUAAAGCUUCCCGUUGUGAGAGCGGAUUGGACAACAUAUGCUUUAUUUUUCUUGGGGUUAAAAAUCUGCUGCCACCCCAGCUUCGGGUUCAUAAAAGAGCUCUCCCCAUUGCUUUUUACCCACUAGAAACUAGUGCCUGCUGCGGGCAAGGUCUGUGUGUGUGUGUUUUUGCUUUCACAAAGAGCCAGCUUGAUUAGUCUUAUUUAAAAUAUGAUUGUUCCUUGA
Molecule: long non-coding RNA, 808 nt
Organism: Monodelphis domestica (gray short-tailed opossum)
Lineage: Eukaryota; Metazoa; Chordata; Mammalia; Didelphimorphia; Didelphidae
Source: RefSeq, a predicted model, not a curated record